Molecule: long non-coding RNA, 393 nt
Filed under: Bos taurus (domestic cattle)
Lineage: Eukaryota; Metazoa; Chordata; Mammalia; Artiodactyla; Bovidae
Description: long non-coding RNA NONBTAT011747
Source: RNAcentral
CCCUUUGAGAGCAUUCACCAGAAUGAUCUUGAUCAGAUUAACCGGGGUUGGGUGCCAACUGCCUAGGGAUUAGGACACAGAAGAGAAGGGCACCAAGGAAGGCAGAAGAAACAGCACAACAACUGCCUGAGCUACAUGAUGACUCCAUCCCCAGUUGCAGCAGAACCUGCCUACUGCUCCCUGAACUCAUCAUGCCCAUGGAUGGCCGCCUAUUACAAACACUUGUGACUGAAGAAGUCAGCAGAGAUGUUCUGAAGAUGUAGAUUCCAUUCUGAAAGAAAAGUGAAGUUUGAACCACACUUCGAGAAGUGCCAACUGCAGGGAGGGUGAAAGGCUAGUCCUCCAGUUCCCUGGGAUGAAUGUGGGCACAAGAAGUAAAUGUUACUGAAGAUG